This 22-nucleotide non-coding RNA is filed under the name Arabidopsis thaliana (thale cress). Lineage: Eukaryota; Viridiplantae; Streptophyta; Magnoliopsida; Brassicales; Brassicaceae. The record is from RNAcentral.
CCGGGUUACGGUGCCCAACUGC